GAUGAACGCUGGCGGCGUGCCUAAUACAUGCAAGUCGAGCGAACAGAUAAGGAGCUUGCUCCUUUGACGUUAGCGGCGGACGGGUGAGUAACACGUGGGUAACCUACCUAUAAGACUGGGAUAACUUCGGGAAACCGGAGCUAAUACCGGAUAACAUUUGGAACCGCAUGGUUCUAAAGUGAAAGAUGGUUUUGCUAUCACUUAUAGAUGGACCCGCGCCGUAUUAGCUAGUUGGUAAGGUAACGGCUUACCAAGGCAACGAUACGUAGCCGACCUGAGAGGGUGAUCGGCCACACUGGAACUGAGACACGGUCCAGACUCCUACGGGAGGCAGCAGUAGGGAAUCUUCCGCAAUGGGCGAAAGCCUGACGGAGCAACGCCGCGUGAGUGAUGAAGGGUUUCGGCUCGUAAAACUCUGUGAUUAGGGAAGAACAAAUGUGGAAGUAACUGUGCACGUCUUGACGGUACCUAAUCAGAAAGCCACGGCUAACUACGUG
This 497-nucleotide ribosomal RNA is filed under the name uncultured bacterium. RNAcentral describes it as "partial 16S ribosomal RNA". It matches the Rfam family "Bacterial small subunit ribosomal RNA", at positions 28 to 507 of the family's 1533-position model. The record is from RNAcentral.